AUACCCGCAGCCCAAGUGGUGGUCGAUUUUAUUGAGUCUAAAACGUUCGUAGCCGGUUCAUUAAAUCCUUGGGUAAAUCGGAUGGCUUAACUAUCCGAAUUCCGGGGAGACUGGUGAACUUGGGACCGGGAGAGGCAAGAGGUACUUUUGGGGUAGGGGUAAAAUCCUGUAAUCCUAAAAGGACCACCGGUGGCGAAGGCGGCUUGCUAGAACGGAUCCGACGGUGAGGGACGAAGCCCUGGGUCGCAAACGGGAUUAGAUACCCCGGUAGUCCAGGGUGUAAACGCUGCAGACUUGGUGUUGGGGACCCUUCGGGGGUGUUCAGUGCCGGAGAGAAGUUGUUAAGUCCACCGCCUGGGAAGUACGGUCGCAAGACUGAAACUUAAAGGAAUUGGCGGGG
This 400-nucleotide ribosomal RNA is filed under the name uncultured bacterium. Its description in RNAcentral is "partial 16S ribosomal RNA". It matches the Rfam family "Archaeal small subunit ribosomal RNA", at positions 473 to 873 of the family's 1478-position model. The record is from RNAcentral.